RNAcentral lists this long non-coding RNA (1612 nucleotides) under Triticum aestivum (bread wheat). RNAcentral describes it as "long non-coding RNA (TAES_LNC007099)". The record is from RNAcentral. Lineage: Eukaryota; Viridiplantae; Streptophyta; Magnoliopsida; Poales; Poaceae.
UGCGCCACUAAUAACCUUAUAGGUGCGCCACUAGUAAUAAAGGAAGGUGCGCAACUAAUAAGGGCUUAAUGCGCCACUAGUAAUGUAUUUGGAAAACAAAAAAAAAAUCUAAAUUUACAGAAAACAACCUAUAAGGAAAAAUAAUUUAAAAACAAAAAAUGAAAUAAAAUCAUAAUUUUUAUUAUAGUAAGAAUAUUACAAUGUCUUUACAAGUUUCCAAUAAAAGGAAAAUUGCAAGGAAAUAAAAGAAAAUCCUAAAACUAAUCUUCUAGUCUUUUCUUCUUUUUCUUCACUUUAUCCCUGCAAAAUGGAACAAAAUAAACAGAAACACAAACAAACUAUUUAUAACAUGUCAAUACUGUCAUUUUUUAUGCAGAACUAGAUAUGAGCAUAUAUUUCCAGAAUUACAUGGUGUGAAAAUUGUAUGAGUAAGAUUAUAAUGGAAAUGAAUUUUGAUAGGAGCCCACUUUCGACGAGUAUUUAUCUGACAGAGCUAAAUAAUCAGGGCACUAAUCAUAUUUCCACUACAACAGUUCAGUAUUGCAAAUAUGAACAAGACUAGGAAAAAAAGAGCUAUGAAAAUUUCUAACAACAGAAUCACUUAGAAAGUUUAAUAUCACCAACUAUCAAAAUCUAUGGUUAAACUGCAGGGUGCCGGUUGAAACACACUGCAAGUGUUUGGAAAUGGUAUCAUACUGGACACUAAUCAACCUUGAGUUCGGCAUUCCUUUUCAAAAACAGUAGCUUAUACCAAUAUCUUGUGCUGGUAAGUGGCAACUACUCCCUCCGUCCCACAAUAAGAGCGUUUUCCAAACUAACAUAGCUUGAAAAACGCUCUUAUAUUAUGGGACUGAUGGAGUAGAUGACAUGUAAAGGAGCCUAGUUCAUAACCUUUAUUUAUAAGAAGAACAUAAGCUGCAUGGAUCUGCACAAGAUGUUAUGAAGGAAAAUGCACCAUAUUUAGAUACCAUGUCAUUAGCAGGCGGCUGCCCUUGGUUCCUCAUCUUCCAGAGCAAGUGAACUCUCUCAUUUUAAACUCUUGUCAUGCAAUUUGCCCUAAGCUGUGGAUCAAGACAACAUGGGAUAAGGAGAAAUUAUGAGUAAUACGAGAUGAAGGCACAUAAAAGUUAUAAGAUUGCAUGCAACACUGACAGGCAAUGCGAGAUGGCACCCUAGAGGCAGUUCAGUCCAAAACCUACUCUAAAGAUUCAUGGUUCCUAACAAAAUAGCAUAAAAAUGCUUUUCACGACACAGCUGACACCCUAUUGGCAGUUCUAGGCAAUCAACCAAACACCUUGCACGCAUGGCGGCAACACCCGUUGUCCAGCAAUCCAACAGUAGCAUCACGCUUCAGACUCUGGCCUGCUGCGCGUGGCAUGACAACAUAGAACUAGCCGCGCCGCCGGCGAGAUGGACUGGGAAUGGAACAAAGUCAACGAACCUCCUCUCUCCAGUCCGGGCGGCGGGAUUUGUUGGGAACCCUUCGGGGGCGAGCCGAAUCCAUCGUGGCGGCUGGCCGCCCCGAUCGCCGGGAGACGAGGCUCCCGCCGGGUCCGGCCCUUCGCCUCUGCUCUCUCUUGGUCUCACCGGCGUGGAGAGCGAAGGCUUGGGG